Molecule: ribosomal RNA, 292 nt
Filed under: uncultured bacterium
Lineage: Bacteria
Description: partial 16S ribosomal RNA
Rfam family: Bacterial small subunit ribosomal RNA
Source: RNAcentral
GUGCCAGCAGCCGCGGUAAUACGGAGGGUGCAAGCGUUGUCCGGAAUCACUGGGCGUAAAGGGUGCGCAGGCGGGGCAGCAAGUCGGAGGUGAAAGCCCGUGGCUCAACCACGGAAGUGCCUUCGAAACUGUUGCUCUUGAGUCCCGGAGAGGUUGCCGGAAUUCGUGGUGUAGCGGUGAAAUGCGUAGAUAUCGCGAGGAACACCAGAGGCGAAAGCGGGCAACUGGACGGGUACUGACGCUCAGGCACGAAAGCGCGGGGAGCAAACAGGAUUAGAAACCCUUGUAGUCC